UUAUUAUAUUUUCCGGUGUUUUAUUUUGAAAGACGUCACAGGAAGUGUGUUUAUAAUUUUUACAGCUUAAUCGUAGGUUCUCACUUCUAUCUCACUGAUUCCCAGUGAGAUAAAUGAAGACAGAUUCUUCUCCUGGGUUCAUGUCAAUAUUUUAUCUGUCAGUGUGAACUAGAAGCAGCUCCACAGAGAUGAAAACAGCCGCAGAGACUCUGAGCGGAGCUAACGAUGCUAACGAUGCUAACAGGCUCCAGCAGCAGCUUCAGAGGAGCUGUGGCUCCUAAACUGGAGCUUCAGGUCCAACAGAGCUGAAUCAAAGCUCUACAACUCUGGUUUAGACGCUAAUAUGCUGAGCUUCCGGUCUGAAGAUCAGCCUCCAUUUUGAGCUGCAGGAUGGAAAUAACUUGCUGACUUGUUACUAGAGGUAAGUGUUGCCGCUCCGGGUCCCUCCGUGUCUCUCGGCUCUCUGGAGCCUUUCUAACCGAUGAACCCACCGAGGCUUCCCGGGGCCUCAGUCACCUCGGCCUGGGUCGCUCGGCUCUCAUAGGGCCUGGUCCCCGCAGCAGCGCUCUGUUUACUUUAUUGAAGGCCUGAUCUAGAAAGGAAUUAGAUCAAAUGAAAAACUUUAU
This is a long non-coding RNA of Xiphophorus hellerii (green swordtail), 626 nucleotides long. RefSeq lists it as uncharacterized. Lineage: Eukaryota; Metazoa; Chordata; Actinopteri; Cyprinodontiformes; Poeciliidae. The transcript is spliced from 2 exons. The record is from RefSeq and is a predicted model, not a curated record.